AUGAAGCUUGGAUGGAUGUAAAUCAAUACCUUUCUCAAUCUAUAUCGUGAUCGACAACACAAUAGGUUUUGCAAGGGAUUUAGAACAAUGAUCACAACAAAAUAUACACAUGAAGCACUCCCAUGGAAAAUAUACACAAGUAGUAUAUUGCCUCGUGAUAAAAGUACAUACAACAUAUUGCCGUUGACUACACCUACCAAUGGCA
This 205-nucleotide unclassified non-coding RNA is filed under the name Hevea brasiliensis (rubber tree). Lineage: Eukaryota; Viridiplantae; Streptophyta; Magnoliopsida; Malpighiales; Euphorbiaceae. The record is from RNAcentral.